ACCAGACUCCUACGGGAGGCAGCAGUGGGGGAUAUUGCACAAUGGGGGGAACCCUGAUGCAGCGACGCCGCGUGGGUGAAGAAGCGCCUCGGCGCGUAAAGCCCUGUCAGCAGGGAAGAAAAUGACGGUACCUGAAGAAGAAGCCCCGGCUAACUACGUGCCAGCAGCCGCGGUAAUACGUAGGGGGCAAGCGUUAUCCGGAUUUACUGGGUGUAAAGGGGGCGCAGACGGCGAUGCAAGCCAGGAGUGAAAGCCCGGGGCCCAACCCCGGGACUGCUCUUGGAACUGCGUGGCUGGAGUGCAGGAGGGGCAGGCGGAAUUCCUGGUGUAGCGGUGAAAUGCGUAGAUAUCAGGAGGAACACCGGUGGCGAAGGCGGCCUGCUGGACUGCAACUGACGUUGAGGCCCGAAAGCGUGGGGAGCAAACAGGAUUAGAUACCCCUGUACGC
RNAcentral lists this ribosomal RNA (448 nucleotides) under uncultured bacterium. RNAcentral's name for it is "bacterial SSU rRNA". It matches the Rfam family "Bacterial small subunit ribosomal RNA", at positions 330 to 794 of the family's 1533-position model. The record is from RNAcentral.